GACGAACGCUGGCGGCGCGCCUAACACAUGCAAGUCGAACGAGCGAGAGAGAGCUUGCUUUCUUGAGCGAGUGGCGAACGGGUGAGUAACGCGUGAGGAACCUGCCUCAAAGAGGGGGACAACAGUUGGAAACGACUGCUAAUACCGCAUAAGCCCACGGUGCCGCAUGGCACAGAGGGAAAAGGAGCAAUCCGCUUUGAGAUGGCCUCGCGUCCGAUUAGCUAGUUGGUGAGGUAACGGCCCACCAAGGCGACGAUCGGUAGCCGGGCUGAGAGGUUGAACGGCCACAUUGGGACUGAGACACGGCCCAGACUCCUACGGGAGGCAGCAGUGGGGAAUAUUGCACAAUGGGGGAAACCCUGAUGCAGCGACGCCGCGUGGAGGAAGAAGGUCUUCGGAUUGUAAACUCCUGUUGUUGGGGAAGAUAAUGACGGUACCCAACAAGGAAGUGACGGCUAACUACGUG
This 466-nucleotide ribosomal RNA is filed under the name uncultured bacterium. Its description in RNAcentral is "partial 16S ribosomal RNA". It matches the Rfam family "Bacterial small subunit ribosomal RNA", at positions 28 to 507 of the family's 1533-position model. The record is from RNAcentral.